AAUCCUCAAUGGACUGCAAGAGGCCGGUCUCAAACCAGAUCUUGUAUCGUAUAACACUGUCAUUAAAGGGUUCUGCAGGCAAGGGCUUUUGCAAGAAGCUAUGAGGACUUUCUCAGAGAUGACAACGAGAGGAAUUCGGCCUUGCAUUGUCACCUACAAUACGUUCAUUGCUGGCUUCUCCACACGGGGUUUGUUCCCUGAAGUACACGAAGUGAUCAGUUAUAUGAUUCAGCACAACUGCAGACCAAAUGAACUGACCUACAAGAUCCUAAUAGAUGGUUACUGUAAAGCCAAAAGGUACAAGGAUGCUAUGGAUUUUGUAUCCAAAAUUAGGGAGGACUCUUCUUGUGAUGAGGAGUCAUUGUCACCUACAAUACGUUCAUUGCUGGCUUCUCCACACGGGGUUUGUUCCCUGAAGUACACGAAGUGAUCAGUUAUAUGAUUCAGCACAACUGCAGACCAAAUGAACUGACCUACAAGAUCCUAAUAGAUGGUUACUGUAAAGCCAAAAGGUACAAGGAUGCUAUGGAUUUUGUAUCCAAAAUUAGGGAGGACUCUUCUUGUGAUGAGGAGUCUUUGCAAAGAUUCACAACUCGUAUAACAGGAAACAUGGAGUCGUG
This 620-nucleotide long non-coding RNA is filed under the name Olea europaea (common olive). RNAcentral's name for it is "long non-coding RNA (OEUR_LNC012007)". Lineage: Eukaryota; Viridiplantae; Streptophyta; Magnoliopsida; Lamiales; Oleaceae. The record is from RNAcentral.